GGAGAGAUGGUUGAGCGGCUGAAGGCACUCGCUUGGAAAGCGGGCAUACGUGAAUAAGCGUAUCGGGGGUUCGAAUCCCCCUCUCUCCG
This 89-nucleotide transfer RNA is filed under the name Firmicutes bacterium CAG:552. It matches the Rfam family "tRNA". From Rfam's summary of the family: Transfer RNA (tRNA) molecules are approximately 80 nucleotides in length. Their secondary structure includes four short double-helical elements and three loops (D, anti-codon, and T loops). Lineage: Bacteria; Bacillati; Bacillota. The record is from Rfam by way of RNAcentral.